This 253-nucleotide ribosomal RNA is filed under the name uncultured bacterium. RNAcentral describes it as "partial 16S ribosomal RNA". It matches the Rfam family "Bacterial small subunit ribosomal RNA", at positions 524 to 776 of the family's 1533-position model. The record is from RNAcentral.
UACGUAGGGACCGAGCGUUGUCCGGAUUUACUGGGCGUAAAGGGCGCGUAGGCGGCUUAACAAGUCACUUGUGAAAUCUCUGAGCUUAACUCAGAACGGCCAAGUGAAACUGUUAUGCUAGAGUGCAGAAGGGGCAAUCGGAAUUCUUGGUGUAGCGGUGAAAUGCGUAGAUAUCAAGAGGAACACCUGAGGUGAAGACGGGUUGCUGGGCUGACACUGACGCUGAGGCGCGAAAGCCAGGGGAGCAAACGGG